RNAcentral lists this long non-coding RNA (1083 nucleotides) under Equus asinus (donkey). RNAcentral describes it as "lncRNA (ENSEASG00005029033.1)". Lineage: Eukaryota; Metazoa; Chordata; Mammalia; Perissodactyla; Equidae. The record is from RNAcentral.
CUCUGACGACUCAGCCUAACACACAUCACCACCGCCACCACUCCUCAGACUUCCAGGGUCUUCCUGAUUCUGACACCACAGCCAUGCCAGCUGAGACCCCAGACAUAAAAAUGGGCCCAGGUGCACAACGUGGAGCAGAGAUGAGCUUUCCCAACUGAGCCCAGACCAAAUUGCUGACCCCCAGAAUGGCAUGGUGACUGAGCUCCAAAAGGAAGCAUCCAAGAGGGAAAUUCCAGAGAGAGAAUGGAAGCUGGAAGAAACAGCAGGAAGCUUCGUGGUCUUUUGUGACCUCACCUCCGAAGUCACAAAGCAUUAUUUCUACCAUAAUUUGUUGUUCAAAACAUUCACUCCAAUUCAAGAGAAGAGGACAUAGACCAUUACUCAGUGGAUAAAUGAUAGAGAAAACAUCCUUGUUUAUUUUAUCAAGUUCAUCAGCUUCUAAGAUUGUGUUACAGAAUGACAACAAAGCUGUCACUAAGAAAAUAAUCCUAGCCAAUUUACUUCAGAUGAUUCAACCUACAGUGUUAUCUGUAUCCCAUGGUACCACCAUGGGAGCCGAAGCAGCAGUUUUACACGGAAGGAGGACAAUUAUUUCAGUGGUGAAGUAAACCUGCUUAGAAGGCUCAGCAAGCAUUUUACAGCUUCCCUUUAUCACAGGAUACUGAUAAAAGAUAAGCUGAAACUGCCUUUCAAAUUAGCAAAUAGCACAGAACAUUUAAGUAUGCACUUGGUGGAGAAUGCUCAGAGAUUCUUCCGGGACACCAGACACAAAUUAAUGGCUUUAAGUCACACACUUUGUAUGGAUAGGAAAAGUAACUUCCUAAGUUUCCAUGGGGAAAAAUAAAAGGAUCACAGUUUGAUAUGGAAGCAUGACACCUAUGGCUGUAAAUUGAUGUCAUUGACAAUGAAUAAUCAGAAUAACAUACAGAAUGAUUUGCUUCAAGACCAGCCAUCCAAACAUAUUCCUAAAGUGAUUGUAUCAGUUUCCUAGAGCUGCCAUAAUGAAUUGCCACAAACUCGGUGGCUUGGAACACCAGAAAUGUAUUCGCUUGCCAUUCUGGAGUCCAUAAAUAUGAAAUCAAG